UUUAUAUGAUGAGAAACACAUCAAUAUACAGUUCUGCUUCUGAACCAAAAGCUGAAGCCAACGAUAUACCAAACGAUACAUAAUAUCUGAUAU
Molecule: small nucleolar RNA, 93 nt
Filed under: Dactylellina haptotyla CBS 200.50
Lineage: Eukaryota; Fungi; Ascomycota; Orbiliomycetes; Orbiliales; Orbiliaceae
Source: RNAcentral